RNAcentral lists this ribosomal RNA (232 nucleotides) under uncultured bacterium. Its description in RNAcentral is "partial 16S ribosomal RNA". It matches the Rfam family "Bacterial small subunit ribosomal RNA", at positions 15 to 237 of the family's 1533-position model. The record is from RNAcentral.
GAUCAUGGCUCAGGAUGAACGCUAGCGACAGGCUUAACACAUGCAAGUCGAGGGGCAGCAUGAUUUGUAGCAAUACAGAUUGAUGGCGACCGGCGCACGGGUGAGUAACGCGUACGCAACUUACCUAUCAGAGGGGGAUAGCCCGGCGAAAGUCGGAUUAAUACCCCAUAAAACAGGGGUCCCGCAUGGGAAUAUUUGUUAAAGAUUCAUCGCCGAUAGAUAGGCAUGCGUU